UUGGCACAUAAUUUCAAAGCUAUUCAGUCCAAACCUAAAGUGUAUCAGCGCAGCUAAUGUCAAACUGCCUUCAAAAUAAUUUGUUUAUUCCUUGACGAAGAAGACACAAACAUUUGUACCAAUAUAAAAAAUACAGACAAAUAUAUACUGUUUGAUGAACCUAUAUUUUGUGCACUCU
Diprion similis is the source of this 178-nucleotide long non-coding RNA. RefSeq lists it as uncharacterized. The record is from RefSeq and is a predicted model, not a curated record. The transcript has 3 exons. NCBI's taxonomy places the organism in Eukaryota, Metazoa, Arthropoda, Insecta, Hymenoptera, Diprionidae.